UGGGGAAUAUUGGACAAUGGGCGAAAGCCUGAUCCAGCCAUGCCGCGUGUGUGAAGAAGGUCUUCGGAUUGUAAAGCACUUUAAGUUGGGAGGAAGGGCAGUAACCUAAUACGUUGCUGUCUUGACGUUACCGACAGAAUAAGCACCGGCUAACUCUGUGCCAGCAGCCGCGGUAAUACAGAGGGUGCAAGCGUUAAUCGGAAUUACUGGGCGUAAAGCGCGCGUAGGUGGUUUGUUAAGUUGGAUGUGAAAUCCCCGGGCUCAACCUGGGAACUGCAUUCAAAACUGACAAGCUAGAGUAUGGUAGAGGGUGGUGGAAUUUCCUGUGUAGCGGUGAAAUGCGUAGAUAUAGGAAGGAACACCAGUGGCGAAGGCGACCACCUGGACUGAUACUGACGCUGAGGUACGAAAGCGUGGGGAGCAAACAGGAUUAGAUACCCUAGUAGUCCCUGAGCGGGCUGGCAAGGCGCAU
RNAcentral lists this ribosomal RNA (472 nucleotides) under uncultured bacterium. RNAcentral describes it as "bacterial SSU rRNA". It matches the Rfam family "Bacterial small subunit ribosomal RNA", at positions 355 to 825 of the family's 1533-position model. The record is from RNAcentral.